Molecule: RNA transcript, 1758 nt
Organism: Anguilla anguilla (European eel)
Lineage: Eukaryota; Metazoa; Chordata; Actinopteri; Anguilliformes; Anguillidae
Gene name: solute carrier family 43 member 3-like
Exons: 12
Source: RefSeq, a predicted model, not a curated record
GACGGGUGGACAGAGAGAGACAGACAGACACACAGAGAGACAGACAGAGGGAAACAGAGACAGACAGACAGGUGAACAGACAGACAGAUAGAGAUCAGAGAGGAUGCUGGGACAGCGGGGCGGGUCGGGAGGUCGUGACUGGGUGACGCUGGUGUCGGGGCUGGUGGAGUGCCUGUGUUUCGCUGGGGUGGUGUUCGGCUGGGCCUCCCUGGUGUUCAUCCUGAAAGCGGAGGGCUACUUCAGCGACUUCUGCCUCAACACCACUGGAGCCAACAGCAGCGUUCUCACAGAUUGCAGUGGUCAGGAUGAGCAGUUCUCCCUGGUCUUCACCGUUGCCUCCUUCUUGAACAACUUCAUGACGCUGGCCAAUGGCUUCUUAUUUGACCGCUUCGGCACCAUGGCAGCCAGAUUCUUGGCCAUAUCUCUCCAUACCACUGGCACACUGAUGGUUGCUUUUUCUACUGCAGUGAUAUCCACUUUGCUCUUCCCUGCUCUGUCCUUCAUCACCAUUGGAGGGAUGUUACUGCUCAUCACAAACAUACAGGUGGGGAACCUGUUUGGCUCUCAUCGCUCAACUGUCAUCACCCUGUACAAUGGAGCCUUUGACUCUUCCUCUGCGGUCUUCCUCAUUAUCAAGGUGCUGUAUGAAAGAGGGAUUUCUCUGCGCUCCUGCUUCCUCUUCAUGUCGGCCUGCAGCGUCAUCCACCUCCUCCGAACUUUCCUUCUCCUGCCCAAGACUCACAUCCCCUAUCCACUGCCUGAAGACUACACUUAUGGGCUGAGCUGCGGCACAUCCGGGAGCCACAGCGUGGAGGGGGCUGGGCGGGCGGGAGGAGCAGACAGCAAGCGGAGCGAGCCCCAGAGCGACAGUGUGCCCUUCCAGCCUGAAGACAAACCACCGUCCCAGACCUCAGAGGAGAGAGAGCCCAGUUUCAGCAGCUGUGUGCUGUCCUGGUUCUUCCUCUUCCACCUGGUCUGGCUCUCCCUCAUGCAGCUCAGACACUACCUGUUCAUUGGGACUCUGAACCCCAUGCUGACCCGCCUGGCGGACGGGGACCCCUCCCUAGUGAGCAGGUACACCAAUGCCUUUGCCUUUGCACAGCUGUGUGGGGUUCUCUGUGCACCGUGGAAUGGACUCAUCCUGGACAGAAGCAAAGGGAAGCAGCGAGCUCCAGGAGAGACAGAGAAGGAGGCUGACCUGCGCUCCUCUGCUCUCUCCCUCUUUAUCACCUCCCUCCUGUGCCUCCUCUUCUCCAUCUGCGCCUCCAUUUCAGUGCUCCCUCUGCAGUACCUCACCUUCGCCCUGCAGGUCAUCAGUCGCUCCUUCCUGUACGGAGGCAAUGCAGCCUUCAUCAGCAUUGUGUGAGUAAUAACAAUAAUAAUAGAGAGGUUCAGCUCCAAAUCACGCCCUGUACCCCUGUACCCUGAGAGAGGUUCAGCUCCAAAUCACGCCCUGUACCCCUGUACCCUGAGAGAGGUUCAGCUCCAAAUCACACCCUGUACCCCUGUACCCUGAGAGAGGUUCAGCUCCAAAUCACGCCCUGUACCCCUGUACCCUGAGAGAGGUUCAGCUCCAAAUCACACCCUGUACCCCUGUACCCUGAGAGGUUAUACUCCAAAUCACACGCUGUACCCCUGUACCCUGAGAGAGGUUCAGCUCCAAAUCACACCCUGUAUCCCUGUACCCUGAGAGAGGUUCAGCUCCAAAUCACGCCCUGUACCCCUGUACCCUGAGAGAGGUUCAGCUCCAAAUCACAC